Protopterus annectens (West African lungfish) is the source of this 520-nucleotide long non-coding RNA. RefSeq lists it as uncharacterized. The transcript is spliced from 6 exons. The record is from RefSeq and is a predicted model, not a curated record. Lineage: Eukaryota; Metazoa; Chordata; Ceratodontiformes; Protopteridae.
GCCGCUCAUAUGAUGCUGACAUAUCUGCAUUAACUGAUGAUAGCGUAGCAAAUCCUACAGAGGAUAAAAUAAGAUCCCAGAGGCACACACAUCAACCACAAGGGCUAAACUCAUCCAGCAGCACAGAAGUCAGUGCACAGUCCAGCAGAACAGUCCCUUAUGAAGAGCAAGGGGUACACUCAUUUCAUCCUGACAUACCUGCAUCGACUGAUGACACCAGACAAAUAUGCAUAGUGGACAACACAAUAUCCAGGAAGUCCUUCAGAGAUCAUCCUCAAGGGCCAGACUCACACGGCAGCACAGAAGUCAGUGCACAGUUCAGCAGAAUAGUCCCUUAUGAAGCACAAGGGGCGCACUCAAUUCAUCCUGCCAUACCUGCAUUAACUGAUGACACCAGACAAAUAUGCAUAGUGGACAGCGCAAUAUCCAAGAAGUCCUUCAGAGAUCAUCCUCAAGGGCCAGACUCACACGGCAGCACAGAAGUCAAUGCACAGUCCGGCAGAAUAGUUCCUUAUGAAGC